UACGCUGCAACAUAUGUGGUACUAGAUGAUAAUUACAGUUAUUGCUGAGGCAGGAUUAUAAUUGGUUAAUAUCGUAAUAUUUACGUCUUUAACUGGCGCUUUGAACGAAUAGACUUUUAUGUAACCAAUCUGAAUACUGUUUGUGAGGACUGAGACGACAACUGCAAAAAACAAAUGCGAUUUCAAUGAGUUUUAUUUUAAAUUUUUAGAAGAAAGCAUUCUUAAAUGUGUGUAUUAUUGAAGCGCUGUUGUUUUGUUCAAACAAAAUAAAGUUUCCGCACUUCCUCGUGGUGGUUCUAAAUUAAUUAGUGUUUUUUUUCCGAGUUCAGACUUUCUGAUUUAAUGCGCAUACAACAAUUUAAGUCAUUCCAUGUUUCACAUGCAAAUCCAACUCAUUAAAAAGAGACCACAGUCUUGGGUGAUUUUGAAAGAGCUUGCAGCAUUGACAGAUCACCAGACAGCAUAGCGCCCAAGAAGAUAGCAAGAGUCAUAAUGUCUGCUGACAGAACCCUGUUGCCAUAAGAUACAUGUACAUAUACUAAUGAUGAUCAAUAUAUUCCCCUUCAGGACCUGGGAAGUUAUUCAAAGUUAUAUUUUGAUACAUUUAUCAGAACUCAAAGUCCAUAU
Cryptotermes secundus is the source of this 627-nucleotide long non-coding RNA. RefSeq lists it as uncharacterized. The transcript is spliced from 2 exons. Lineage: Eukaryota; Metazoa; Arthropoda; Insecta; Blattodea; Kalotermitidae. The record is from RefSeq and is a predicted model, not a curated record.